CGCGCGAUACAGGGUGACAGCCCCGUACACAAAAGCGCAUGUGUUGUGAGCUCGAUGAGUAGGGCGGGACACGUGGUAUCCUGUCUGAAUAUGGGGGGACCAUCCUCCAAGGCUAAAUACUCCUGACUGACCGAUAGUGAACCAGUACCGUGAGGGAAAGGCGAAAAGAACCCCGGCGAGGGGAGUGAAAAAGAACCUGAAACCGUGUACGUACAAGCAGUGGGAGCCCCACCACCAAAGCAUUCUCUGGUGUUGAAGGCCCUGCAAAGCAGCAUCGCGGUGGCGGAGCGUCGUUUGCGACGCCCAACACAAAAAACAAGCGGUGAGUGCUUUGGGGUGGGGUGACUGCGUACCUUUUGUAUAAUGGGUCAGCGACUUAUAUUCUGUAGCAAGGUUAACCGAAUAGGGGAGCCGUAGGGAAACCGAGUCUUAA
Molecule: ribosomal RNA, 433 nt
Filed under: Salmonella enterica
Lineage: Bacteria; Pseudomonadati; Pseudomonadota; Gammaproteobacteria; Enterobacterales; Enterobacteriaceae
Also listed under: 2 other names
Description: bacterial LSU rRNA
Rfam family: Bacterial large subunit ribosomal RNA
Source: RNAcentral